This is a long non-coding RNA of Salvelinus sp. IW2-2015, 2118 nucleotides long. RefSeq lists it as uncharacterized. The record is from RefSeq and is a predicted model, not a curated record. Lineage: Eukaryota; Metazoa; Chordata; Actinopteri; Salmoniformes; Salmonidae.
UCAUCAUCUCUAGACUUUGCAGCUCCUCUGUGGCUCGAGCUGACUUAUCGUGACGUCACCCACUGUAUCUGACUGUAUGCAGCCCUUCAUGGAGCGCGUGGCUGCGAGCACAUGGAAAGGAGGUCGAGAUUUGUGCUUGAAAGACACGCACCUAUUCAUCCGAAAUGGAAUAUAAAUAAUAAUGCGCAAAAUAGAGUCAGAGAACGGGAAGACUGUUGAAGACCCUUCUCGCUCUGCUCUACUCAGCUGUCAAUCAACCAGGAUCAGCAGAUUUAUCAUGAAAAUCAAGUCACCUGGAUGGAAGUUAUGAAAAGGGGGACUGGAAUGUCCUGUCAUCCAUUUCCUCCCACUCAGAAACACUGUGCUGGUGUGGUGAUAGCAUCUAGAGGUACAGGAUCUAGGUAAUGAAUGAACUGGGAUGCCCACACACUGACGAUGGGACCCUGGACAACCUGACACCAAGUAUGGAAAAGGAUGACUGACUUUCCCACCAAAGUCCCGUAUCAUCGGAGGUGGCCACAGCCAAUUGAACACACACACACACAUUCUCACAUUCCACACAGGCAGAUGCCUUGCCACACACAGGACUCAAACCUACACUGACAUACUGCAUACACAACUUAUCCACACACCAUAAUUCACAUGCCACAAGAUGGUUUGUGCAUGCUGUGUUGCGGCAUUGCUGCUCUUGGUCUUAUUAAGGUGUUACUGUAACCUGUACUGUAUAGCAGCUGAAGAUAUUCUACCCACACAGUCUAUUUGAUGAGUUUAGGACUCAUCGAGGGAGAUUCUGACGAUUAGUGAUUGAGAAAUCACCUCCCUAUGGCACGGAUUCAUUUGAGCUCUUACUGGAAGGAUCUUUAUGUCAACUGAAAGUGAAGAUAUAAGUACUUUUUCCAAUAACAUUUUGUCUAUGUCUACAUGUUUGUGGUACAAACCAAAGCCGAAUAGGAGUUCUAUCUUUACAGUUCUCACUUUUCCUUCCCAUGACUUCACAAUCUCUGUGAAUGGAAUCAUGUUCUAUUGUUGCCUAACCUGUUUCGAUGGGUUGGCUUAACAUACACGUGCAGUAUAGGGAGCUAAUUACGACAGCAAAAGAGGAGAGGGGAUCAGCUCUCACACUGAAAGGCAUAUUUGUGUUAACACUGUUUCUAUACUCAUACAUUACCAUACAUUAGCUGUUCAUGAUCUGCAGUGGCAUGUGACUGAAUAUCCAUACAUUUGAUAACAACAGUUUCACACUGUGAAGCAUAUUAGUGUUCACACUAUUCACAAAUACAUGUAGAGUAUAUUCCUACAUUAUCUGUAACUUAGCCGUAGUGGAAGCUGACUGAAUUUCAAUACAUGUGAUAAUGUCUUGGUUAUCUUGAUUUCAGCCAUUAAAGCAAGGCCUACAGGGCAGGGUCAUUGUCACUAUUUGAGUUACAUGGGUCAAAUCAGGGUCAUGUCUGUUACUCACCCCGGCAACACAACGUUAAAGGAAAAGGUUGUUAACUUACAGAGAACUCCCCUAUGAGAACUCCCUAUGUUUUCCCUCACAGUGGGGAAAUUGAGUGCAGCAGGUGAGAAAGAACGUAAACAGCCCAAACCACAAGAUAUCCUGCUGUUCAUUUCAAUGUCAUUUUAUUUGAAUCACUUAAUAACUGUGUAACAACAUGUUACUACAAUAAUAGAACUGUGUUAGUAAACAGGUACACAAGGGAACUUUAUGUAAAACAUUGGUAUUCAGACCAGAAGUUUAAUAUGUAUGCAUUAAGUGGUGAUUAUAUGUACAACAAUGUAAAUGUUCAUAAAAAUGGUAGUUAACAAUGACAAAAUGUACUGUAAAAGUAGAUGUUACGCAGUGUAAACCCUCUCUUCACAAAAAAAAGCACCAAUUAGAAGUCACAUAAGAGUUGUGAGGAGUUUUAAUCCAGCUAAGUGAUAGUCCACUCUUUGAUGUUAGGUCAAUACCUCUUUCGGGGAGGAUGAAAGAACAAAACUUUCUUGCCAACAAUCAAUCUCUCAAUGUAUGACCAUGUAGUGUUUUAAAUUCAGCUCUUUAUCAGCAAUAGUGACAUUAUGGAUUAAAUAAAGCUUUAUCGCCCAGGCAGGAAAAGGCUGGGCUGUCUGCCUCUC